Paramuricea clavata is the source of this 771-nucleotide non-coding RNA. Lineage: Eukaryota; Metazoa; Cnidaria; Anthozoa; Malacalcyonacea; Plexauridae. The record is from the annotation of a GenBank genome assembly.
GCUACUGAUAAGACAAAGACAGUUUUGGAAGAGGAACGAAAGUCUGUAGUUAUGGUUGUAAAGGUGACAGAGCCAGCUAGUAUAAGUAGAGUGAUUGACUUGAAUGAUUAUGGGACAGCAGAACGACUUUUUAGGGUAACAGCUUGGGUACUCAGGUUUGGGUUUAAUGUACGAGCAAAAGCAAGGGGCAUUGAUAGGCGAAGUGGAGAGUUGACAGUGAAUGAGUUAGUUGAGGCAGAGAAUAUAUGGAUUAAAGAGUCUCAGGCAGGGUUGAAAGUAGAUAGAAAGUACACCCAACUGAGUAAUAGUUUAGGUUUGAUGGAAGAGGAAGGCAUUCUGAGAUGUAAAGGUAGAUUACAUAAUUCUGAGUUAGAGUUCAAUACCAAACACCCAAUCAUUAUACCCAAGGACCACAGACUGACUGAAUUGAUUGUCCAGAAAUGUCACAGUGAAGUGCAUCAUUGUGGUGUACGGGCAACCUUAGGAAGAUUAAGGACAAAAUAUUGGGUUGUGAAAGGAAGACAAAUGGUGAAGCGGAUUUUAGGUAGAUGCGUCACCUGUAAAAGAUUAGAGGGAAAAGCAUAUAGUGUAGCACAGACGGCAGAUUUGCCAGGAUUUCGAGUUAGGGAAGCUGCACCCUUUUCUAAUGUGGGAAUAGAUUUUGCAGGUCCAUUGUUUGUAAAGUGUUGUGUGCAAAAUGUCCAAGUAAGGUUUAUAUAGCAUUGUUUUCUUGUUGUGUGACUAGAGCUAUACAUUUGGAGCUAGUUAGGG